UUUAUAUUCAUAAAAGAUGACGGCCCAAUGUUACAAAUGAUUAUACCGGUUUCAAGAUUUGCUGUUGUAUCGUUACGAUGGGUCUUUUUAUUUACCUGCGGAAAAGGAGCGAAGGUCGAAUGCGAUGCGGAGAUCCGAUUUUAAACUGCAAUGAUAGGGUUCCGCUCACCUUUCUUCCUUCCCGUGCCUCUCAUGAAGUCGCAGGCAAUCGAGGGUUUCUCGGCGAGUGGGGUAAAGGACGGGAUCUUGUACCUGAUUCAGCGCUGCUUCUCGCGAUCUCGAUGUAUUAGCUAUGGUUCUUUAGUGAGCACCACAAUGGGAGUAGCAACUUGGUAGAAUUCACAGAUGGACUGGACUAUAAGGGGGAUGAACAGCAGAGUGAGGACUAUCUUUUUAAAAUUGUUAUGAUCGGUGACUCUGCUGUUGGAAAAUCGAAUUUGCUAGCAAGAUUUGCCCAGAAUGAAUUCUACCCGAAUUCCAAGUCCACUAUAGGUGUUGAAUUUGAAAGAUGGAAAUUGAUGGGAAGAAAAUCAAAGCUCAGGAAUGGGAUACAGCGGGUCAGGAACGUUUCAAGGCCGUAACAUCUGCCUGCAUAUUAUGGGGGGGAGCUGUAGGAGCUCUUCUGGUGUAUGAUAUCAGCAGGCAUCAGACCUUUGACGGCAUCGGUCGGUGGCUGAACGAACUACAUGGUAAGCACCAAAUCUUCUAUUAUGUUUUUAACGAGUGUCAUUUAAAAAUACUGAACUAUAACUAUGUUGGCAUUCCAUCUUUUAGUCUUAAUUGUUGGGAGUUGCCACAUAAAUCAUGUCAUAGAUAUUUAGUGUUUGGUUCGGUUCUUACA
Molecule: long non-coding RNA, 841 nt
Organism: Musa acuminata AAA Group (dessert banana)
Lineage: Eukaryota; Viridiplantae; Streptophyta; Magnoliopsida; Zingiberales; Musaceae
Exons: 2
Source: RefSeq, a predicted model, not a curated record